RNAcentral lists this ribosomal RNA (400 nucleotides) under uncultured bacterium. RNAcentral's name for it is "bacterial SSU rRNA". It matches the Rfam family "Bacterial small subunit ribosomal RNA", at positions 355 to 747 of the family's 1533-position model. The record is from RNAcentral.
UGGGGAAUAUUGGACAAUGGGGGAAACCCUGAUCCAGCGAUGCCGCGUGUGCGAAGAAGGCCUGCGGGUUGUAAAGCACUUUAAUCGGGAAAGAAAAGCUUGUGGUUAAUACCCAUAAGAAGUGACGUUACCCGAAGAAUAAGCACCGGCUAACUCUGUGCCAGCAGCCGCGGUAAUACAGAGGGUGCAAGCGUUAAUCGGAAUUACUGGGCGUAAAGGGUGCGUAGGCGGUUGUUUAAUUUAGGUGUGAAAUCCCUAGGCUUAACCUAGGAACGGCAUCUAACAGUGAACAGCUAGAGUAGAGUAGAGGAAAGUAGAAUUUCCGGUGUAGCGGUGAAAUGCGUAGAUAUCGGAAAGAAUACCAGUGGCGAAGGCGACUUUCUGGGCUCAUACUGACGCU